Molecule: ribosomal RNA, 254 nt
Filed under: uncultured bacterium
Lineage: Bacteria
Description: partial 16S ribosomal RNA
Rfam family: Bacterial small subunit ribosomal RNA
Source: RNAcentral
UACGGGGGGAGCAAGCGUUGUUCGGAUUUACUGGGCGUAAAGGGCGCGUAGGCGGUCAGCACAAGUCAGUUGUGAAAUCUCCGGGCUUAACUCGGAACGGUCAACUGAUACUGUGCGACUAGAGUGCAGAAGGGGCAACUGGAAUUCUCGGUGUAGCGGUGAAAUGCGUAGAUAUCGAGAGGAACACCUGCGGCGAAGGCAGCUUGCUGAACCAUUAUUGACGUUGAGGCACGAAAGCGUGGGGAGCGAACAGG